GUGGGGAAUCUUCCGCAAUGGACGAAAGUCUGACGGAGCGACGCCGCGUGAGUGAAGAAGGCCUUCGGGUCGUAAAGCUCUGUCAUCAGGGACGAACGGCCGGUGGAGUGGAAAGCCACCGGAUUGACGGUACCUGAGAAGGAAGCCACGGCUAACUACGUGCCAGCAGCCGCGGUAAUACGUAGGUGGCAAGCGUUGUCCGGAAUUAUUGGGCGUAAAGCGCGCGCAGGUGGGAUCUUAAGUCCAUUUUUAAAGUUCGGAGCUCAACUCCGUGAUGGGAUGGAAACUGGGAUUCUUGAGUACCGGAGAGGAAAGGGGAAUUCCCCGUGUAGCGGUGAAAUGCGUAGAUAUGGGGAGGAACACCAGUGGCGAAGGCGGCUUUCUGGACGGUGUCUGACACUGAGGCGCGAAAGCCAGGGGAGCGAACGGGAUUAGAAACCCGGGUAGUCC
Molecule: ribosomal RNA, 450 nt
Filed under: uncultured bacterium
Lineage: Bacteria
Description: partial 16S ribosomal RNA
Rfam family: Bacterial small subunit ribosomal RNA
Source: RNAcentral